GUCGCAAGUUUAUUGACCUUAACUUGCAUUGUGGAAUGUUAUCAUCAAUUACUGUUUCUAAUUGCCCAUUGCUUCAAAGAAUCAAUAUAACUUCAAGUGCUCUCAAAAAAUUAGUUUUGCAGAAGCAGGAAAGCUUGACAACAAUUGCAUUACAGUGUCCGAAUUUGCUAGAAGUAGACCUUACUGAGUGUGAAUCGCUCACCAAUUCUGUUUGUGAAGUUUUCAGUGAUGGUGGUGGCUGUCCUGUGCUUAAAUCCUUAGUUCUGGAUAACUGUGAGAGCUUGACACUUGUGGCUUUCUGCAGCACUUCUUUGGUUUCUCUUUCACUUGGUGGUUGCCGUGCUUUAAUUUCUCUUGCGCUUAGGUGCCCAUAUCUUGAACAAGUAUCUUUAGAUGGUUGUGAUCAUCUUGAAGUAGCAUCAUUUUGCCCCGUUGGUCUUAGG
RNAcentral lists this unclassified non-coding RNA (443 nucleotides) under Hevea brasiliensis (rubber tree). The record is from RNAcentral. Lineage: Eukaryota; Viridiplantae; Streptophyta; Magnoliopsida; Malpighiales; Euphorbiaceae.